Molecule: non-coding RNA, 451 nt
Organism: Vicugna pacos (alpaca)
Lineage: Eukaryota; Metazoa; Chordata; Mammalia; Artiodactyla; Camelidae
Source: RefSeq, a predicted model, not a curated record
CCUAUAAAAGGCCUGUGUAACCCUACAGACGGGGUCCAGAGUUUGAAGUGUUAACUCUUCUGGGUCGUUGGUGUGAUAAACCUGAGUUCCUCAUCUUUCCAAGUGCUGCUUGGUGUCUCGUAGGGAACCAGAUCAUGUUCCGUCUCUGAGCCUCAGCUUUCUCUCGCUGGGCUGGUAAUGCCUUUAAGGCUAAUAAAUACAGGCGUACCUUGGAGAUAACUUCGGGUUUGGUUCCAGACCACGGCAAUGAAGUGGUUACUGCCACAAAUUGGAUGUCACGUCAGCAAUGCCAUUUGAUGUCUUCUACCUCUUCUUUGGGUUUCGUCCAAUAUUUAGGACAUAUUUAAUAGGAUGUUAAAGACUGUUGAUGCCUAAAGUGAGAAAUGUGGCUGAAAACAUAAUCGUCUCUGGAAACAAGGAAACACUGGCAUUGAAGUUAACCCCAAAGUGU